Zootoca vivipara (common lizard) is the source of this 2671-nucleotide non-coding RNA. The record is from RefSeq and is a predicted model, not a curated record. NCBI's taxonomy places the organism in Eukaryota, Metazoa, Chordata, Lepidosauria, Squamata, Lacertidae.
UCGCGAGGCUCGUUUGCGCAUGUGCGGGUCGUGAGGGAGCGCGACUGCCGGCAACGGCCAACAUGUCGGCGCAGGGGGACUGCGAGUUCCUGGUGAAGCGGGCGCGGGAGCUGGUCCAGGGGGACCUGUGGGCGGCCAAGGCCUGGCUUAUCACCGCACGGAGCCUCUACCCCGCCGACUUCAACAUCCAGUAUGAGAUGUACACUAUUGAACGGAAUGCAGAACGUACAGCAUCAGCAGGCAGAUUGCUAUAUGACAUGUUUGUUAAUUUCCCAGACCAGCCAGUGGUGUGGCGGGAGAUUAGUGUCAUUACAGCAGCCUUAAGGAAUGAUUCGCAGGACAAGCAAACUCAAUUUUUAAGAGGUUUAUUUGAAACCCUACCAGGCCGAGUUCAGUGUGAAAUGUUACUGAAAGCCACAGAGCAGUGCUUUAAUACAUUGGAACGGGCAGAAAUGUUGCUCCUGCUUUUGCGACGUUUCCCUGAGACUGUGGUUCAACAUGGGGUGGGCCUUGGGGAAACAUUAUUAGAAGCAGAAAAUAUUGAAGACCAAGAAUCACCUGUCAAUUGUUUUAGAAAAUUAUUUGUCUGUGAUGUCCUUCCCCUAAUAAUUAACAACCCUGAUGUGCGCCUUCCGGCCAACCUGUUAUAUAAGUAUCUGAAUAAAGCAGCAGAGUUUUAUAUUAAUUAUGUGACGAGAUCUGCGCAGACUGAAAAUCAAUACCAAGGUACACAGGAUACAUCUGAUCUUGUGUCCCCCAGUAAACGAAGCUCUCAGAAAUACGUAAUAGAGGGCUUAACUGAGAAAUCUUCUCAAAUUACGGAUCCGUGGGAAAGGGUGUUCAAGAUACUGUCCGUAGUGGGAGUAAGGUGUGAAUGGCAGAUGGACAUGGCAAGAAGAAGCUUUGGCGACACAUUGCUCAAAAUGAAAGAUGUCUGCAGAUACAUCAGUAACUAUGAUAACGAAGCUCAUGCAAAAUACAAGACCCAAGUGGUCUAUUCCACAAUGCUGGUCUUCUUCAAGAACGCAUUCUUGUAUGUCAGCAGCAUCCAACCUUCUCUCUUCCAAGGACCAAAUGCCCCAAACCAAGUUCCACUGGUUUUGCUAGAGGAUGUUUCCAAUGUUUAUGGCGAUACUGACAUUGAACGGAGCAAACAUGUGCACAAAAAGAGGAAGCUUGCCGAAGGGAGAGAGAAAACCAUGAGCUCUGAUGACGAGGAUCCUUCUGGGAAGGGGAGAAGCAGGCACAUUACAGUAAAUGCAGCAGACCUUCCAAACGCCAUUGAAGUACAAGAAAGCUUUAGGUUGGCUAGGGAGAGCUGGGAACUUCUCCAUUCUCUUGAAUCUUUGGAUAAAGAAUUCACAAGAAUGUGUGUGUCAUGGAAGACCGAUACUUGGCUUUGGCUGCGGAUCUUCCUCACAGAUAUGAUCAUCUAUCAGGGUCAAUAUAAAAAAGCAAUUGCCAGCUUGCAUCACUUAUCAGCUCUGCAGGGAUCUCACUCUCCGCAGCAGAUCCUGGGGCAAGGAUCCCUAGAGAACCAGCGAUCCCUAAUCCAGCUUGCAACCUGUCACUUUGCCCUUGGAGAAUACCGUUUGGCCUGUGAAAAGGUACUUGACCUGAUGUGCUACAUGGUGCUUCCCAUACAAGAAGGGGUUAAGCUUCCGGAAGAGCAGCCUACAGGGAAGUCCAAAUUCAGGAAAGCUACGGAGUUGAAGCUCUGGCCGUGUACCAGUAAAGCAAUUAUGCCCUAUUGCCUACGGUUACUGUUAGCUUGUUUUAAGCUGAGAGCUUUCACAGACAACAGAGAUGAUAUGGCAUUGGGUCAUGUGAUUGUGUUGCUGCAGCAUGAGUGGCCAAGGGGAGAAAACCUGUUCUUGAAAGCAAUUAACAAAAUCUGCCUACAAGGAAACUUCCAGUAUGAAAAUUUUUUCAACUAUGUUACAAAUAUUGAUAUGCUGGAAGAAUUUGCCUAUUUAAGAACACAAGAAGGAGGAAAAAUUCACUUGGAAUUGUUGCCAAAUCAGGGAAUGUUGAUAAAAGUUGCAGACCUGUGUGUGGAGAAAAGACUGCCAAAUGAAAGGAUUAAACACCCACCCACCCCUCACUGCUGCUUAUCUGUCCUCCCUGGGAGGCAAUGCCAAGAAGAAGAGGAUAGCAGGAAUUCAUUAUUCACUUUAACAUGAAUAAGUAUUUGCUGGGACUCCAGGCUAAAAUGUUGCUACAUCUGCUGAGGAACAUAAUGCAGGAACAAUUUUGUCACAGUUCGCAAUUCUUUGUAAAUACAACAUAUUAUGUAGUUCAUAUUAUGCUGUUGGGUUUUAAAAAAAAAACUUGCAGUGUUCUCUUCAGUACUGCAUUUGGGAGCCCCAAGCCUACUGGAUUUAGUUCAUUUUCCUUUCCUAAUUCAGUACUAGGGUUUGGGCUGUUGGUCUGCAGCCCCUUUCCUCUUUUCUGUGUCUAGUUCUCUGGAGCGUUGAUUUUUGUAGCACAGGGGAAGUUGGUGUGAGUAUUUGAAUGCUGCUGUUUGCUGUUUUUUAAAGGACUUCUAGCCCUCCGCUGGGGUUACUGCAGCAGGAAUUCAUGCCUGUACUACAGCCCAGCAUGCAGACUGCUGACAGGCAUCACACAGUUACCAGGGGAAUAACCAAAGGCGUAAAGGAGGAUUUCCGCC